UGGGUUGUGGCUCAGUGGUAGGGUGCUUGCUUAGCAUGCACGUGGCCCUGGGUUCAUCCCCAGCACCACAC
This 71-nucleotide transfer RNA is filed under the name Ictidomys tridecemlineatus (thirteen-lined ground squirrel). Its description in RNAcentral is "Spermophilus tridecemlineatus (thirteen-lined ground squirrel) tRNA". It matches the Rfam family "tRNA". From Rfam's summary of the family: Transfer RNA (tRNA) molecules are approximately 80 nucleotides in length. The record is from Rfam by way of RNAcentral. Lineage: Eukaryota; Metazoa; Chordata; Mammalia; Rodentia; Sciuridae.